Molecule: RNA transcript, 1190 nt
Organism: Camelina sativa (false flax)
Lineage: Eukaryota; Viridiplantae; Streptophyta; Magnoliopsida; Brassicales; Brassicaceae
Gene name: protein DETOXIFICATION 12
Source: RefSeq, a predicted model, not a curated record
UAAUAAUAUAAUCAAAAAAAAAAAAAGUUUUAAUCCCAUAUUUUGUGAGACACAGAUCUCUACCCAGAUCAAUUUACAUCCUCACAGACCUCGUACGUGUCAUUAGUUUAUUGGUUAGUAUCGGUUUGUUUUGUUUUUUUUUUUCUGUCUUUUCUUCUCAUUCUCUUUCGACAACAUCAAAACAAAGAAACACGAAAUCAAAACUUAUCGAGAUCGGUUGAUGAAUACACUGGAGAAAGAGAUCUCGCCUCGUCGUCUACGAGAUUCGAUUCGAUCAGAGCUGAUUCGAUCCAAGGUCAAGUCUUUGUUUGAUGAUGCUAAAUCCAGCACCCCGGUCAGUGUAUCCAAGAAUUGUACCAAUCUCAAUGUUGCUUGCAAAAGGCUAGCCCUUCCUCUCUACAAUCUCCUCUCAAAUCAGUCAGGGAACCAAAGCGUCAACUCAUUCCUCAGCUUUCGGAGCUAAGCUAUAUCGGAAACUAGAUGUUCAGACUUACACAGCCAUGUUUUGUCUUGCUUUGGUGUGUAUCCCUCUUUCUCUCGUUUGGCUCAACAUGGAAAAGCUUCUUGUGUUCCUGGGACAAGACCCUGCUGCCUGGCUUAUCCCUGGACUCUUUGCUUACUCUGUUCUACAGCCUUUCACUCGCUUCUUUCAAAACCAGAGUUUGAUCUCACCUCUCUGCAUCACUCUGCAGUUAAACUUGUUCUGUUCCUUGGUCUUUCCUGUAAUUUGGUGAUGAUGAUAGGUUUGCUUACGGCUGUUCAUAAGGAUUAUUUUAGAGUUGUGAACUCGAGGGAUUGCACAUGUAUGAUGGUUCUCUUUGGCUAUUGAUGUUUCUUCAUUAAGGUUGGGAGUGCAUUCUGUUUUUGGCCAUAAGAUUAUGUCUGGAAAACGUUAAACAAUGGCAAGGUGAAAAUGUUGUUACCUCCAAAUCCUAGUUCCUUAUUUCCUUGGACUUAUUGGCUUGUAGGUGAAAGUGCUCUGUCUCACACGAUAAAGUACUUCCAUUCUAGUUACUUUUAUUCACACGAUAAAGUACUUCAAUUAUGAUAGGAUAAAACGGUAGAUGGUAACUGUUGCUCAGUUCAGACAGCCUUAAUGUAAUUUGCUUCAGUUCUUCUUAUUCUCCUAUUUCUUCUUGUCCACUUUCCUCUCCUUCUCUACUUACAAAACAUUUUUAAUAAAAAUUUAA